AUUCUUAUAGCUUAUAUUUUAGAGUUUAAUAUUGAAAGUAUUAAGGAGUAAUUAAUUUGCUGGGAAUA
RNAcentral lists this transfer RNA (68 nucleotides) under Olidiana ritcheriina. Its description in RNAcentral is "tRNA-Phe". Lineage: Eukaryota; Metazoa; Arthropoda; Insecta; Hemiptera; Cicadellidae. The record is from RNAcentral.